GAGGGAGGCUUGCUAGCAACAAAGACUGCUAACCCUUGUAAUUUCGGUUGAAUUCCGGAGCUCCCCCA
Molecule: transfer RNA, 68 nt
Filed under: Tridentiger trigonocephalus
Lineage: Eukaryota; Metazoa; Chordata; Actinopteri; Gobiiformes; Gobiidae
Description: tRNA-Ser
Source: RNAcentral